CAGGCCGGCCCUUCUCGCGGCCUCGCAGUGUCUCUCUCCAGGAGCCAGCUUCGUUGAAGUGGGCCAGGCUGAAGUGAGGCCAGCUUUGCCUGCUGCAGCCCUGUGGUCUGUGUCCAAAUUGCUGAGUACUGCCGGGAGAGGGAGCCGGGAGUGCCUGCGUCUCCUGCUGUCAGCCGGUCUGACUGCCUGAGCGGAGCUGUU
RNAcentral lists this long non-coding RNA (201 nucleotides) under Homo sapiens (human). RNAcentral's name for it is "HSALNT0246579". The record is from RNAcentral. Lineage: Eukaryota; Metazoa; Chordata; Mammalia; Primates; Hominidae.